GACAAGGUGGCCGAGUGGUUAAGGUGCUGGACUGCUAAUCUGUUGUGCUCUGCAUGCAUAGGUUCGAAUCCCAUCCUUGUCA
Molecule: transfer RNA, 82 nt
Filed under: Alligator mississippiensis (American alligator)
Lineage: Eukaryota; Metazoa; Chordata; Crocodylia; Alligatoridae
Rfam family: tRNA
About the family: Transfer RNA (tRNA) molecules are approximately 80 nucleotides in length. Their secondary structure includes four short double-helical elements and three loops (D, anti-codon, and T loops).
Source: Rfam by way of RNAcentral